RNAcentral lists this ribosomal RNA (773 nucleotides) under uncultured Neocallimastigales. RNAcentral describes it as "partial large subunit ribosomal RNA". It matches the Rfam family "Eukaryotic large subunit ribosomal RNA", at positions 26 to 614 of the family's 3401-position model. Lineage: Eukaryota; Fungi; Neocallimastigomycota; Neocallimastigomycetes; Neocallimastigales. The record is from RNAcentral.
CGCAUCUGUGCAUGCAGCAUAUCAAUAAGCGGAGGAAAAGAAACUAACAAGGAUUCCCCUAGUAACGGCGAGUGAAGCGGGAAGAGCUCAAAUUUGAAAUCUUAAAGGGUUUCCCUUUACGAAUUGUAGUUUAAAGAAGUGUUUUCUGUUGAGGUUUUGGUAAAAGUUCUUUGGAAUAGGACAUCAUAGAGGGUGAGAAUCCCGUAUUUGACCUUUACUUUCAACUUUGUGAUACACUUUCAAAGAGUCGGAUUGUUUGGGAAUGCAGUCCAAAAUGGGUGGUAAAUUUCAUCUAAAGCUAAAUAUUGGCGAGAGACCGAUAGCGAACAAGUACCGUGAGGGAAAGAUGAAAAGAACUUUGAAAAGAGAGUUAAACAGUACGUGAAAUUGUCAAAAGGGAAGCGUUUGACACCAGUGUUGUUUUUCUGAAAAUCAAUUAAAGAACUGUUUAUGCUAAGUUGUUUAGACUUUAUCAGCUAACUGUUUAGUUUUGAGCUUUUCUCUAAUGCACUUUUCAGUUAACAAGUCAACAUCAAUAUCUUUUGCUGUAAAAAAGCUUGAGGAAGGUGGCUUGAGAUCCGUCUUAAGUGUUUAUAGCCUCUUGCCUAUGCAGUCGGAGAGAUUGAGGUCUGCAGCGUAGAUCCUUCGGGGCUAAAUGCCUUGUGCUAAGUUAUAGCAUUUUAUAGACAACUUGUUGACUAUGAUUUGUCUUGUAGCUUACUCGCUUAUGUUAUUUUACCUACGCUUAGGAUGUUGAGUCAUCACACAUCUCU